UAGCCUGCCGGUUCGGCCAUGCGCAGUACGUGCCAGCCGGGAGCGAGCCGGCAUGGCGUCUGCCGGGCCGACCACGGGCGGCCAUGCGCAGUGGGUGCGCACCGGGAGCGCGCGCGGGCAUGCGCAGUGCGUGCCCGCCGAGCACAAGAACGCGACUGCGCGCUGCGGCUGUCGAGAGCGAGCUCGAGGCUGGGGCUGCAGAUUUCAUAAGUAGGCAACCCCGUUUACGUUAAUUUUGUUUCUCACACGAGACAGAGAGUGCAUGUGGGGGAGAAUCAGAGAGCGAGACACAGAAUCCGAAGCAGGCUCCAGGCUCCGAGCUGUCAGCACAGAGCGCAAUGCAGGGCUUGAACCAGCCUUAUUUAAAGGAUGAAGCGACCAGGCAUUUGCAGAUGUUGGCCGGUGGGGCCGUCACCUGAAAAUCAGGUGGACGUGCUCACAAGCCGAGCGUGGGCCUGAAAAGCGAAACUUUUGUUCUUAUGUAAGUGACUGUUCCCCCCACCCUGGGUGUGCGUGUUCAGUGGCAACCCCAAAAGUUAUGUCCACGUCUCGACUUUCAAACCUGGGAAGGGGACCCUCAUUCGAAAUAGGUCUUUACAGAUGUGAUGACGUAAAGGAUCUGACAUAAGACCGUCCUCUAUCACAGUGGUCCUGUAUCCAAUGACGAUGUCCUUAGGAGAGACAGAAGAAGAGAGACAGACACAGAGGAGAAGCCACGUGAAGGCGGAGGCAGAGACAGGAGGGACCCAGCCACGAGCCCAGGGACGCCUGGAGCCCCAGAAGCUGGAAGAGGCAGGAAGGACCCUCCUCUGGAGCCUCAGGAGGGAGCACAGCCCUGCCUGGAUCUCAGUGGUCCUGCCCCGGCUGGAUCUCAGCGGUCCUGCCCCUCCUGGAUCUCAGCGGUCCUGCCCUGCUUGGAUCUCAGCGGUCCUGCCCUGGCUGGAUCUCAGCGGCCCUGCCCCUCCUGUAUCUCAGUGGUCCUGCCCCUGUGGAUCUCAGUGGUCCUGCCCCUGUGGAUCUCAGUGGUCCUGCCCCACCAGGAUCAGGAUCCCUGCCCUGCCUGGAUGUCAGACUUCUAGUCUCCAGACCUGGGAGAGCAUGAAUUCCUGUGGUUUUAUGCACCCAGGUUAUGGGAAUUUGUUAUGGAUGCCCCAGGAACUAACACCCUGGGUCCUUGUUAAAAUGGGAAGACUCUAGUGAAAUAAAACCAGGCAUCUGUGCUUUGAUCCAGCUGGUACGAGUGGGCCUCGAGGAGGCUCGAGCUACUCUGUCUAAUGAGCACACUUGGCCCAUUUUGUGUAUUUUGAACAUCGGGGGAAAGUCCAAGGAGGUCAGUCCUUCUCCCAAAGAAUGCCCGGGGAUGCCUGGUGCUAGGUCUCAUGAGAGAGCGUGAGGGUUUUGUUUGUUUUUUGUCUGUUUGUUUGUUUUGUUUUUGUUUUUGUUUUAAGAGGUAUCGGUCGGUCUUUGCUCUGUACGUGUCGUGGAAACCUAUUUCCGUUCUCCAGAGAGUGAAUCUCUGGGUUGGGGCAGGAGUGGAGGAAAAGGCCGGCUGUGUCCUCUCCUUGAGGUCGAAUGGCUGCGAUGCUCAGUGCAGCACAGGGAGCACGGGACGGACACGUGGGCACCAUCUCUGUGCCUGGGGUGCACGAGGGACGUGUGAGCCCCCUCAGGGCUCCGCCUUCUGGCCUCCAAGCACGAAACUUCCUGGAGGUGCUUUGCCUCGUUUUUAAUUCAUCGAGACUGCUUCCUGAUCUGUCAGAGGAAGGCCACAGACCUUGACAAAUACCUCUUUGUCCCGUGCUCAGCACUCGUUUGGAGAAAUAAAAGUUACAUCGAAAAAUGCCCCCUUUUCCGUUUUCAUCUCUGAUGGAAUUCUCUGCUGACCCCCUGGUUCCCCAUGGCUCCGUUUCAGGGUCUGAUGAUACGGAAAAGAAUUUUGUAUUUGGAUAAUAAAAUUUCCUUACUCGCCUUCCGCAA
Molecule: long non-coding RNA, 1977 nt
Organism: Leopardus geoffroyi (Geoffroy's cat)
Lineage: Eukaryota; Metazoa; Chordata; Mammalia; Carnivora; Felidae
Exons: 2
Source: RefSeq, a predicted model, not a curated record